Molecule: ribosomal RNA, 492 nt
Filed under: uncultured bacterium
Lineage: Bacteria
Description: partial 16S ribosomal RNA
Rfam family: Bacterial small subunit ribosomal RNA
Source: RNAcentral
AGUGAACGCUGGCGGUAGGCCUAACACAUGCAAGUCGAACGGCAGCACAGUAAGAGCUUGCUCUUACGGGUGGCGAGUGGCGGACGGGUGAGGAAUACAUCGGAAUCUACUUUUUCGUGGGGGAUAACGUAGGGAAACUUACGCUAAUACCGCAUACGACCUACGGGUGAAAGCAGGGGAUCUUCGGACCUUGCGCGAUUGAAUGAGCCGAUGUCGGAUUAGCUAGUUGGCGGGGUAAAGGCCCACCAAGGCGACGAUCCGUAGCUGGUCUGAGAGGAUGAUCGGCCACACUGGAACUGAGACACGGUCCAGACGCCUACGGGAGGCAGCAGUGGGGAAUAUUGGACAAUGGGCGCAAGCCUGAUCCAGCCAUACCGCGUGGGUGAAGAAGGCCUUCGGGUUGUAAAGCCCUUUUGUUGGGAAAGAAAAGCAGCAGGUUAAUACCACGCUGUUCUGACGGUACCCAAAGAAUAAGCACCGGCUAACUUCGUG